RNAcentral lists this ribosomal RNA (338 nucleotides) under uncultured Pelagophyceae. RNAcentral's name for it is "partial Bacterial small subunit ribosomal RNA". It matches the Rfam family "Bacterial small subunit ribosomal RNA", at positions 598 to 933 of the family's 1533-position model. The record is from RNAcentral. Lineage: Eukaryota; Pelagophyceae.
AAUCUUGGGGCUUAACCCUGAGCGUGCUUUCGAUACGGGUUGACUUGAGGAAGGUAGGGGAGAAUGGAAUUCCUGGUGGAGCGGUGGAAUGCGCAGAUAUCAGGAGUAACACCAGUGGCGAAGGCGGUUCUCUGGGCCUUUCCUGACGCUGAGGAGCGAAAGCGUGGGGAGCGAACAGGCUUAGAUACCCUGGUAGUCCACGCUGUAAACGGUGGGUACUAGGUGUGGGGUCCAUUCCACGGGUUCCGUGCCGUAGCUAACGCUUUAAGUACCCCGCCUGGGGAGUACGGCCGCAAGGCUAAAACUCAAAGGAAUUGACGGGGCCCCGCACAAGCGGC